RNAcentral lists this ribosomal RNA (96 nucleotides) under Propithecus coquereli (Coquerel's sifaka). Lineage: Eukaryota; Metazoa; Chordata; Mammalia; Primates; Indriidae. The record is from RNAcentral.
GCACCCUGAACACACCCGAUCUCGUCUGAUCUUGGAAGCUAAGCAGAGUUGGGCCUGGUUAGUGCUUGGAUAGGAGAAAUCUGCUGGGAACCAGGA